Meriones unguiculatus (Mongolian gerbil) is the source of this 131-nucleotide small nucleolar RNA. Lineage: Eukaryota; Metazoa; Chordata; Mammalia; Rodentia; Muridae. The record is from Ensembl.
UCCUCCUGCAAAGGCGUGUUUCUGGUUGCCUGUCCUUGGACACGUAAGAAUCGGAGGCAAAGAAAUGUGGAUUUGGAAAGAUCUGGGGCCAGCUUGCUCCCCGCAGGCCCAGGAUCAACCAUCCCACACAG